AAAUUGAAGAGUUUGAUCAUGGCUCAGAUUGAACGCUGGCGGCAGGCCUAACACAUGCAAGUCGAGCGGUAGCACAGAGAGCUUGCUCUCGGGUGACGAGCGGCGGACGGGUGAGUAAUGUCUGGGAAACUGCCUGAUGGAGGGGGAUAACUACUGGAAACGGUAGCUAAUACCGCAUAAUGUCGCAAGACCAAAGUGGGGGACCUUCGGGCCUCAUGCCAUCAGAUGUGCCCAGAUGGGAUUAGCUAGUAGGUGGGGUAACGGCUCACCUAGGCGACGAUCCCUAGCUGGUCUGAGAGGAUGACCAGCCACACUGGAACUGAGACACGGUCCAGACUCCUACGGGAGGCAGCAGUGGGGAAUAUUGCACAAUGGGCGCAAGCCUGAUGCAGCCAUGCCGCGUGUGUGAAGAAGGCCUUCGGGUUGUAAAGCACUUUCAGCGGGGAGGAAGGCGGUGAGGUUAAUAACCUCACCGAUUGACGUUACCCGCAGAAGAAGCACCGGCUAACUCCGUGCCAGCAGCCGCGGUAAUACGGAGGGUGCAAGCGUUAAUCGGAAUUACUGGGCGUAAAGCGCACGCAGGCGGUCUGUCAAGUCGGAUGUGAAAUCCCCGGGCUCAACCUGGGAACUGCAUUCGAAACUGGCAGGCUAGAGUCUUGUAGAGGGGGUAGAAUUCCAGGUGUAGCGGUGAAAUGCGUAGAGAUCUGGAGGAAUACCGGUGGCGAAGGCGGCCCCCUGGACAAAGACUGACGCUCAGGUGCGAAAGCGUGGGGAGCAAACAGGAUUAGAUACCCUGGUAGUCCACGCUGUAAACGAUGUCGAUUUGGAGGUUGUGCCCUUGAGGCGUGGCUUCCGGAGCUAACGCGUUAAAUCGACCGCCUGGGGAGUACGGCCGCAAGGUUAAAACUCAAAUGAAUUGACGGGGGCCCGCACAAGCGGUGGAGCAUGUGGUUUAAUUCGAUGCAACGCGAAGAACCUUACCUGGUCUUGACAUCCACAGAACUUAGCAGAGAUGCUUUGGUGCCUUCGGGAACUGUGAGACAGGUGCUGCAUGGCUGUCGUCAGCUCGUGUUGUGAAAUGUUGGGUUAAGUCCCGCAACGAGCGCAACCCUUAUCCUUUGUUGCCAGCGGUUAGGCCGGGAACUCAAAGGAGACUGCCAGUGAUAAACUGGAGGAAGGUGGGGAUGACGUCAAGUCAUCAUGGCCCUUACGACCAGGGCUACACACGUGCUACAAUGGCAUAUACAAAGAGAAGCGACCUCGCGAGAGCAAGCGGACCUCAUAAAGUAUGUCGUAGUCCGGAUUGGAGUCUGCAACUCGACUCCAUGAAGUCGGAAUCGCUAGUAAUCGUAGAUCAGAAUGCUACGGUGAAUACGUUCCCGGGCCUUGUACACACCGCCCGUCACACCAUGGGAGUGGGUUGCAAAAGAAGUAGGUAGCUUAACCUUCGGGAGGGCGCUUACCACUUUGUGAUUCAUGACUGGGGUGAAGUCGUAACAAGGUAACCGUAGGGGAACCUGCGGUUGGAUCACCUCCUUA
RNAcentral lists this ribosomal RNA (1539 nucleotides) under Klebsiella variicola. RNAcentral's name for it is "bacterial SSU rRNA". It matches the Rfam family "Bacterial small subunit ribosomal RNA". The record is from RNAcentral. Lineage: Bacteria; Pseudomonadati; Pseudomonadota; Gammaproteobacteria; Enterobacterales; Enterobacteriaceae. RNAcentral also lists the same sequence under 1 other name.